Molecule: ribosomal RNA, 876 nt
Filed under: uncultured crenarchaeote
Lineage: Archaea; Thermoproteati; Thermoproteota
Description: bacterial SSU rRNA
Rfam family: Archaeal small subunit ribosomal RNA
Source: RNAcentral
ACCUGACUGCUAUCGGAUUGAUACUAAGCCAUGCGAGUCUUUGCAGUAAUGCGAGGCAUACGGCUCAGUAACACGUAGUCAACUUACCCUAUGGACGAGGAUAAUCUCGGGAAACUGAGCAUAAUACUCGAUAGAUCAUAAUGCCUGGAAUGGUUUAUGGUUGAAAUGAUUCAUCGCCAUAGGAUGGGACUGCGGCCUAUCAGCUUGUUGGUGAGGUAAUGGCCCACCAAGGCGAUUACAGGUACGGGCUCUGAGAGGAGAAGCCCGGAGAUGGGUACUGAGACAAGGACCCAGGCCCUAUGGGGCGCAGCAGGCGAGAAAACUUUGCAAUGUGCGAAAGCACGACAAGGUUAAUCCGAGUGAUUUCUGCUAAAGAAAUCUUUUGCAAGUCAUAAAACCACUAGUGAAUAAGGGGUGGGCAAGUUCUGGUGUCAGCCGCCGCGGUAAAACCAGCACCUCAAGUGGUCAGGAGGAUUAUUGGGCCUAAAGCAUCCGUAGCCGGCUCUGUAAGUUUUCGGUUAAAUCCAUGUGCUCAACGCAUGGGCUGCCGAAAAUACUGCAUAGCUAGGGAGUGGGAGAGGUAGACGGUACUCGGUAGGAAGGGGUAAAAUCCUUUGAUCUAUCGAUGACCACCUGUGGCGAAGGCGGUCUACCAGAACACGUUCGACGGUGAGGGAUGAAAGCUGGGGGAGCAAACCGGAUUAGAUACCCGGGUAGUCCCAGCUGUAAACGAUGCAGACUCGAUGAUGCAUUGGCAUAUAGCCAGUGCAGUGUCGCAGGGAAGCCGUUAAGUCUGCCGCCUGGGAAGUACGUACGCAAGUAUGAAACUUAAAGGAAUUGGCGGGGGAGCACCACAAGGGGUGAAGCCUGCGGUUC